Molecule: transfer RNA, 72 nt
Filed under: Cigaritis takanonis
Lineage: Eukaryota; Metazoa; Arthropoda; Insecta; Lepidoptera; Lycaenidae
Description: tRNA-Glu
Source: RNAcentral
AUUUAUAUAGUUUAUUUAAAACAUUACAUUUUCAUUGUGAAAAUAAAUAUAAUAAAUAUUAUUUUAUAAAUA